UACGUAGGUGGCAAGCGUUGUCCGGAUUUACUGGGCGUAAAGAGCGCGCAGGCGGUCGGAUAAGUCGAAUGUGAAAGCCCCCGGCUCAACCGGGGAAGUGGAUCCGAGACGCCCCGUCUGGAGGGACGUAGGGGGACCUGGAACUUCCGGUGGAGCGGUGAAAUGCGUUGAGAUCGGAAGGAACGCCCGUGGCGAAAGCGAGGUCCUGGACGUCUGCUGACGCUGAGACGCGAAAGCUAGGGGAGCGAACGGG
RNAcentral lists this ribosomal RNA (253 nucleotides) under uncultured bacterium. RNAcentral describes it as "partial 16S ribosomal RNA". It matches the Rfam family "Bacterial small subunit ribosomal RNA", at positions 524 to 776 of the family's 1533-position model. The record is from RNAcentral.